UACGAGGGGGGCAAGCGUUGUUCGGAAUUAUUGGGCGUAAAGGGCGCGUAGGCGGUUUGUCAAGUCUGUUGUGAAAUCUCUGGGCUCAACCCAGAGUCUGCAUUAGAAACUGUCGGGCUUGAGUAUGGGAGAGGUGAGUGGAAUUUCCGGUGUAGCGGUGAAAUGCGUAGAUAUCGGAAGGAACACCUGUGGCGAAAGCGGCUCACUGGACCAUAACUGACGCUGAGGCGCGAAAGCUAGGGGAGCAAACAGG
RNAcentral lists this ribosomal RNA (253 nucleotides) under uncultured bacterium. RNAcentral describes it as "partial 16S ribosomal RNA". It matches the Rfam family "Bacterial small subunit ribosomal RNA", at positions 524 to 776 of the family's 1533-position model. The record is from RNAcentral.